This 495-nucleotide ribosomal RNA is filed under the name uncultured bacterium. Its description in RNAcentral is "partial 16S ribosomal RNA". It matches the Rfam family "Bacterial small subunit ribosomal RNA", at positions 28 to 507 of the family's 1533-position model. The record is from RNAcentral.
GACGAACGCUGGCGGCGUGCCUAAUACAUGCCAGUCGAACGCUGAAGGAGGAGCUUGCUUCUCUGGAUGAGUUGCGAACGGGUGAGUAACGCGUAGGUAACCUGCCUGGUAGCGGGGGAUAACUAUUGGAAACGAUAGCUAAUACCGCAUAAGAGUAGAUGUCGCAUGACAUUUGCUUAAAAGGUGCAAUUGCAUCACUACCAGAUGGACCUGCGUUGUAUUAGCUAGUUGGUGAGGUAACGGCUCACCAAGGCAACGAUACAUAGCCGACCUGAGAGGGUGAUCGGCCACACUGGGACUGAGACACGGCCCAGACUCCUACGGGAGGCAGCAGUAGGGAAUCUUCGGCAAUGGACGGAAGUCUGACCGAGCAACGCCGCGUGAGUGAAGAAGGUUUUCGGAUCGUAAAGCUCUGUUGUAAGAGAAGAACGAGUGUGAGAGUGGAAAGUUCACACUGUGACGGUAUCUUACCAGAAAGGGACGGCUAACUACGUG